Molecule: ribosomal RNA, 460 nt
Filed under: uncultured bacterium
Lineage: Bacteria
Description: partial 16S ribosomal RNA
Rfam family: Bacterial small subunit ribosomal RNA
Source: RNAcentral
CCUACGGGAGGCAGCAGUGAGGAAUAUUGGUCAAUGGACGAGAGUCUGAACCAGUCAAGUAGCGUGAAGGAUGACUGCCCUAUGGGUUGUAAACUUCUUUUAUAUGGGAAUAAAAUGUUCCACGUGUGGGAUUUUGUAUGUACCAUAUGAAUAAGGAUCGGCUAACUCCGUGCCAGCAGCCGCGGUAAUACGGAGGAUCCGAGCGUUAUCCGGAUUUAUUGGGUUUAAAGGGAGCGUAGGUGGAUUGUUAAGUCAGUUGUGAAAGUUUGCGGCUCAACCGUAAAAUUGCAGUUGAAACUGGCAGUCUUGAGUACAGGAGAGGUGGGCGGAAUUCGUGGUGUAGCGGUGAAAUGCUUAGAUAUCACGAAGAACUCCGAUUGCGAAGGCAGUUCACUGGACUGCAACUGACACUGAGGCUCGAAAGUGUGGGUAUCAAACAGGAUUAGAUACCCCUGUAGUC